This 661-nucleotide long non-coding RNA is filed under the name Gallus gallus (chicken). The record is from RNAcentral. Lineage: Eukaryota; Metazoa; Chordata; Aves; Galliformes; Phasianidae.
CAGGCAGGCUGCCUCCACCGUAGCCCCCCACGUCACUCAUUCCAGCAGAGGUAAAUGACUGAGGUGCUCUUGAUGCUAACGUAAGAUUUUUUCUGAGGAUCAUAUGUGCAUUAACAGUCUCAAGUAUGUGUGUGGUGAACUCAUUCAUGUUUUCCAGAGGCAUGAUCUUGAAUGCCACCAAACUUUUCUUAUUCUGAAAAGACCGAAGAUGACCAGCGACUUUGACGUAAGUUCCUGGGGGUACCACGAUAUUCUCACUACCUGCCUCAUCAGUGUCAACCCACUGCCGCACGUCCAUGGGCGCCGCUGUCAUGUCGUCCACCUUGUACAGGAUGUUGGUGGGCGCCUUCUCUGCAUGCCUUACGAUGCCCACCACGGUGACCUGCGAGAUCUCCACGUCGUGGAUGCGGAAGGCCUCGUCCACCUGCUCGGCCGCCAGCAGCUGUGACACGGUGCAGGGCACGAUGCUCUGCGAGCGGCUGCGCUGCUUCUUCUCCGCCUGCGCGCCUGUAGGGGAGCUGAAGCCUCCCGGGGACUGCGUGUAGCCGCCCGCAGGGCCGUAGCCGCCGUCGAAGUUACCGUGCCCGCCCCACAUGGCGACAGAGCCCAGCUGCUGCAGCACUCGGUCCGCGAGCACUGCGUCCCGCGCCCCGGCAGCGGG